GAUGAACGCUAGCGGGAGGCUUAAUACAUGCAAGUCGAGGGGCAGCAUACGACUUCGGUUGUGAUGGCGACCGGCGCACGGGUGAGUAACGCGUACACAACCUACCUACGAGAGGGGGAUAGCCUUGGGAAACUGAGAAUAAUACCCCAUAGUAUUACUUUGUUGAUUAUAGAGUAAUUAAAGCUUCGGUGCUUGUAGAUGGGUGUGCGUUCCAUUAGCUAGUUGGUAAGGUAACGGCUUACCAAGGCGACGAUGGGUAGGGGGCGUGAGAGCGUGGACCCCCACACGGGUACUGAGACACGGACCCGACUCCUACGGGAGGCAGCAGUAAGGAAUAUUGGACAAUGGAGGCAACUCUGAUCCAGCCAUCCCGCGUGUAGGAAGACGGCCCUAUGGGUUGUAAACUACUUUUACUAGGGAAGAAAGUGUGGCAUUCAUGUCAUUUUGACGGUACCUAGAGAAUAAGCACCGGCUAACUCCG
Molecule: ribosomal RNA, 481 nt
Filed under: uncultured Saprospiraceae bacterium
Lineage: Bacteria; Pseudomonadati; Bacteroidota; Saprospiria; Saprospirales; Saprospiraceae
Description: bacterial SSU rRNA
Rfam family: Bacterial small subunit ribosomal RNA
Source: RNAcentral